Molecule: microRNA precursor, 84 nt
Organism: Anolis carolinensis (green anole)
Lineage: Eukaryota; Metazoa; Chordata; Lepidosauria; Squamata; Anolidae
Source: Ensembl
GUCAUAGCAAGCAAUCGAACAGAUAAAUGAAGAGAGGAACUGGGCAUCCUUCCUUUCUCAAUCUGUUGCAUUGCAUGCUGUCUU